RNAcentral lists this transfer RNA (77 nucleotides) under Rhodospirillales bacterium URHD0017. RNAcentral describes it as "tRNA_Pseudo_CGT". The record is from RNAcentral. Lineage: Bacteria; Pseudomonadati; Pseudomonadota; Alphaproteobacteria; Rhodospirillales.
GCGCCAACCGGCGCAAAUCGCUGUCCUUAUCAUUCGUAAUGAUGGGGUCGGCGGUUCGAUUCCGUCUCGGGGCACCA